Molecule: ribosomal RNA, 453 nt
Filed under: uncultured Parabacteroides sp.
Lineage: Bacteria; Pseudomonadati; Bacteroidota; Bacteroidia; Bacteroidales; Tannerellaceae
Description: partial 16S ribosomal RNA
Rfam family: Bacterial small subunit ribosomal RNA
Source: RNAcentral
ACGGAAGGCAGCAGUGAGGAAUAUUGGUCAAUGGGCGGAAGCCUGAACCAGCCAAGUCGCGUGAGGGAUGAAGGUAUUAUGUAUUGUAAACUUCUUUAGACGCAGAGAAAUAAGGGGCUCGAGAGCUCUGAUGCUAGUAUGCGUAGAAUAAGGAUCGGCUAACUCCGUGCCAGCAGCCGCGGUAAUACGGAGGAUCCGAGCGUUAUCCGGAUUUAUUGGGUUUAAAGGGUGCGCAGGCGGCUUUUUAAGUCAGUGGUCAAAUAGCGGUGCUCAACGCCGUCCCGCCAUUGAUACUGGAGAGCUUGAUUGCGGUCGAGGUUUGCGGAAUUCGUCGUGUAGCGGUGAAAUGCAUAGAUAUGACGAAGAACACCGAUUGCGUAGGCAGCAGACCAGUCCGUAAAUGACGCUCAUGCACGAAAGUGCGGGGAUCGAACAGGAUUAGAUACCCUGGUA